AAAAUAGAAGCUAUGAUGUAUAUUCUGUAUAUGGGCACUUGGAAUGUAUUGAGUUAUUAGUGCAACCGGCUAUAA
This 75-nucleotide non-coding RNA is filed under the name Clostridium saudiense. Its description in RNAcentral is "Cyclic di-GMP-II riboswitch". It matches the Rfam family "Cyclic di-GMP-II riboswitch aptamer", at positions 8 to 77 of the family's 84-position model. Lineage: Bacteria; Bacillati; Bacillota; Clostridia; Eubacteriales; Clostridiaceae. The record is from RNAcentral.